CCUCCUUUCUAAGGAAACCAAUAAAAUCAAUCAUCUUCAGUUUUGAAAGACUUAGGCAACUAAGUUUUUCUUCGUGACUUCACGAAGGGCCUAUAGCUCAGUUGGUUAGAGCACACGCCUGAUAAGCGUGAGGUCGGUGGUUCAAGUCCAUUUAGGCCCACCAGAGUUAUAGGUUUCGUAAGAACACAAAUUCUUUGAAAAUUAGGUAAAUAAUAGUUAUUUAUCCGGAACAUUAAAGG
Molecule: transfer RNA, 239 nt
Filed under: Tomato big bud phytoplasma
Lineage: Bacteria; Bacillati; Mycoplasmatota; Mollicutes; Acholeplasmatales; Acholeplasmataceae
Also listed under: 2 other names
Description: transfer RNA-Ile
Rfam family: tRNA (bases 87-160)
Source: RNAcentral